Molecule: long non-coding RNA, 637 nt
Organism: Oryza brachyantha (malo sina)
Lineage: Eukaryota; Viridiplantae; Streptophyta; Magnoliopsida; Poales; Poaceae
Exons: 3
Source: RefSeq, a predicted model, not a curated record
GGACGAGGGGCGACUGGGCGAGCGGCGAGCGGCGGCAGUGACGGGCUGGGGACGUGCAAUCGCACGCGCCGCCUACUACUCUGCCUAGCCCCUACACAUGGCUACAAGGGGCGACGGUGGCUGCGGCGGCUGCCACUGCCUCCAGCGCGGGUCGAGCUCCAGCGCGAACGCCGGCGGCGGCAGCGGCUGCUGGUGGCGUGGACCGUGUGGAGCCGGAGGGAGAUGCUGGUGGAGGCAGUGAGGAGACCCGGCAUGAACACAAUACCGACCUCAAAAUGUGCAAAACUGCUUUCAGGUAUAAAGAACGGAUGCGGGCAGACUGCCUUUCUCCUGCCAUCGUCCAGCAUGACACCUCUGGGACAAAUCAAGCAAAAGGGGCAGGAAGAGUCUAAACAAUAAAGAAAAGGGUUGCAAUCAAUAUUCAGAAACAGGACAUGACCAUAUAUCUCUCUUUUUUACAAUUUUACUUACGGAGGAAGGAGGCAACUGACGUUCCAAUGCCCAGAUAUACGAAGUUCAGGACAACCUGGAGGAGGCCAGAGGAAGAAGAAGAUCCAGCGUUAAAUUUGUCACGCCAUCACUGAUCGAGCGGCACCGGCACCGGCACGGCACACACACUCACCUUGGUCACGCUGCG